GUAAAAACAGUACAAAGCUUAAAGUAGAUUAAGUGAGGAUAUUCGUACUAUUCUGGCAGACAUGGAAAUUGAGAGUUAGCCUGCUUCAGACCAGACAAACAAUCAUUUUUUGUUCUCAGGCCUGCAUUAUAAAGCAGGCUUUCACCGUAUCCAGGUUGCUUCAGAGUUAACUGAGUGCUUUUUGUUGGUUCACUUUAUAUUGGGGUAAGUCGCCAGAGUAACUUCUGUUGCAAACCCAACCUGCUCAGGCGAUUAGAUUCCAGAUUUAAAUCCAUUCCUACUAUCCAGUUCUAUGGAAAAGAGCAUUGCCACUCCUGGAAGAUUCCUCAGACGUCUGUGCAUGAAUAGCUGGUUCCUACAAGGUUUUUCAAUAGUAUCUAAAGUCUUUGUGUUUCCCUGAUAAGUAUGACAAUUUUAUUACUUGACUUUUUUCCUGUUGGCAACAAACAAUUUAACAACAAUUUUACUGUUCAGAAAAUGUUGACCUUGUAUCAAAGUUGUGCAGAGCCCAUGAUUGUAUUCUGUUCCAAAAAAAGUCAAAAAUGUAACUAAAAUCACAUUAAAAAAAAAAAAAAAUCACAAAUCAGAUUAACCCACAUUUUUUCCACAAUAAAGCAUAGAAAGAAUUCCUACUAUUUAAUGGCAAAGAUUAGCUCAUCUUCAAUUGUCCUGGCAGCAAUACACCUCAAAAAAGUUAGGAAGGAGGCAACAAAAGGUUGGAAAAGUAACAGCUAGACAAAUCUUUGCUCUACCAAUUUGUUUAACUCACAGCAGGUCAGCAGCAUGACAGAGCAACUUAGACUGGCAAAGGUUCUCAGAAGUAAACUACAAAUUGCAGUUGCAGUGUAACAAUUACAGACUAAUGUUUCUCAGUGAAAAGCUGAAUUUGAAUAUCUCAUCAUCUGCAGCACAUAAUAUCAUCAAAAGAGCCCUUGAGCUCGGAAAAAUCUCUGUGCACAAGGGAUGAGACCAAAAUUCAGUAAUGCAUAUCCAUUAUCUUCGGGCCCUCGGGCGCCACUGCAUUAAGACUAGGCGUGAUUCUGUCAUGGAUUCAGUACAUGGGUUUAGGAACACUUCCAGAAAUGAGUGUCUGUGAACACAGUUUGUGUCCACAAAUAUAGGUUAAAGCUCCAUCAUGCA
This is a long non-coding RNA of Astatotilapia calliptera (eastern happy), 1140 nucleotides long. The record is from Ensembl. NCBI's taxonomy places the organism in Eukaryota, Metazoa, Chordata, Actinopteri, Cichliformes, Cichlidae.